GUAAAACCAUUCUUCUUAGCAACAGCUCUAGGGGAGCUCGAAGUAUGAGGUGCAAAGGGACACUUUCUUAGUGCUGUAGCUACUUUUCUUGGUAGCAACCCCAGUGAUACCAACACUGAAGCCUUUAAUGAGUAAGCAGUGGUUAGUAGUAAGUCCAAGCCAAUUACUUAGGAAGAUCAGAAAUGUGAUAGUCAGCAUGCCUGACAUAUAUAUAGCAAGUAUACAUUUAUGUGAGCUAUUGAUUGUUACUGGAAAAAAAAAACAGAAGUUGUUACUGGUUAAGCAUAAAGUAUUGUACUACCUUGAAAAACAUGUAUGGGAUGUGUAUUUAAAAACUUGAGACACCCUCUCAAGGAGAAAACUUAAUCAUUAGAUAGAUAAAUAGAUAGAUAGAUAGAUAGAUAGAUAGAUAGAUAGAUUCAUUUUAAGGAAAAUUGAUUUUUUUUUGGUUUCUAUUGAGACAUGAGUGUUUCUGUGUAGCCUUUUGCUGUCCUGGAUCUCCCUAUGUAGACCAGGCUGGCCUCUAAGAUCCCAGAGAUUUGACUGCCUCUGCCUCCAGAGUGCUAAGAUUAAAGGCGUGCGCCACCAUACCCAGCUUUCUUCAUUGAUCUUAAAUGUACGGGUUCAUCAUAAAUUGUCAGAAGAUGAAUCAAAGCAAUCACUCAAGCGAUACAGUUCCCAGAUCCACAUUGCAACACUUUAUACAGUCUUGUCUUGGGCUAACAGACUUAUUCUGCUAAGUAAUCCUAACUAGUCUUAGGAAUACUGCUCAUUAUCUGGGCUAGUAUUAAAAAUCAAAGUAGGCCAGUACAGGAUAUCUAUCGGUCUUGCCUAAAGACGUAUAUCUAGAAAGAUCUAUGAUUUCAGCAAUCAAACUUCCAGGUUUUUGCCAGGCAUGUUGGUAUAUACCUGUAAUCCCAGCACUUGGGAGGCAGAGACAGGCUGAUCUUAAUGAGUUUGAAGCCAUUUAGUUCUAACAUGUAAACAGAGAUUCUGAGACAGAAUUGGCUAAUAAGCUGGGUCCUGUGAAUUCCUCUUUAAAAUUUAAGAUCUACUUAAAAGUUUCAGAAUUUUGGAAUUGUCAGAUACUGUCCAUGUUAGGUUUAUUCUUACCUUGAAACAGAGCAACAGAUAAAUGACCCAGUUGUGGCUUCUACCCUGUCUUUGCAUAAAUAUCAACUUAUGGCCUAGGAAUGAAAUGGUCCUUUUAAGGGGCUGGAGAGAUGGUUCAGUGACCCCACUUUUGAUUCCUAGCACCCAUGUGGUGGCUCACAACCAUCUGUAAGUCUAGUUCUAGGAGAUCUGACAUCCCUCCUUAGGCCUCUGCAGGCACCAGACAUAUUGUAUACAGAUAUACAUGCAGAAAAUACUCACGUACACC
RNAcentral lists this long non-coding RNA (1381 nucleotides) under Mus musculus (house mouse). RNAcentral's name for it is "long non-coding RNA chrX:100714007-100715388". The record is from RNAcentral. Lineage: Eukaryota; Metazoa; Chordata; Mammalia; Rodentia; Muridae.